UUAACUUUCUUUAGAAAAUGUGAGUGGUGCUUACCCAUACACACCUCUGUGAUGUUAAGGUGUUCUUAGUUGUUGCUAGGUUAUUCUAAGUGGUUGCUAGGGUGUUCUAGGUGGUUGCUAGAGUGUUAUAAAUGCUUUCAAAGGUGCUAUACAUUUUACUAUAGUGUUCUGGGUGGUUACUAUAGUGUUCUAAGUGCUUUCAGUGGUGUUCAAGGUGGUUGCUAGGGUGUUCUUGUUGGCCACAAACUUGUUUUAGGUGUUGAUAGGGUGUGCUAAGUGGUUGCUAUGGUGUUCAGGUGUUGCUAGGGUAUUCUAAGUGGACACUAGAAUGUUUCAGUGGUUGUUAGGAUGUUCUAGGUGGUUGCUAGGAUGUUCUUAUUGGCCACUAAGUUGUUUUAGGUGUUGCUAGGGUGUUCUAAGUGGUUGCUAUGGUGUUCUAAGUGGUUGCUAUGGUGUUCAGGUGUUGCUAGGGUGUUCUAAGUGGUCAAUAGGAUGUUUCAGUGGUUGUUAGGGUGUUUUAGGUGUUGCUAGGGUGUUCUAAGUGGUCACUAGGAUGUUUCAGUGGUUGUUAGUGUGUUUUAGGUGCUGCUAGGGUGUUCUAAGUGGUCACUAGGAUGUUUCAGUGGUUGUUAGGGUGUUUUAGGUGUUGCUAGGGUGUUCUAAGUGGUCACUAGGAUGUUUCAGUGGUUGUUAGUGUGUUUUAGGUGUUGUUAGG
Long non-coding RNA from Carassius gibelio (silver crucian carp), 715 nucleotides. RefSeq lists it as uncharacterized. The record is from RefSeq and is a predicted model, not a curated record. Lineage: Eukaryota; Metazoa; Chordata; Actinopteri; Cypriniformes; Cyprinidae. The transcript has 3 exons.